RNAcentral lists this ribosomal RNA (269 nucleotides) under uncultured Bacillus sp. RNAcentral's name for it is "partial 16S ribosomal RNA". It matches the Rfam family "Bacterial small subunit ribosomal RNA", at positions 1113 to 1382 of the family's 1533-position model. The record is from RNAcentral. Lineage: Bacteria; Bacillati; Bacillota; Bacilli; Caryophanales; Bacillaceae.
AGUUGCUUAACGCGUGAAGGCCGAGCACUCUAGACGAACUGCCGUUGACAAAACGGAGGAAGGUGGGAUGACGUCAAUCAUCAUGCCCUUAUGUUCUGGGCUACACACGUGCUACAAUGGCCGGUACAGACGGACGCAAAGCCGCGAGGUGGAGCAAAUCCUAAAAAGCCGGUCUCAGUUCGGAUUGCAGGCUGCAAUUCGCCUGCAUGAAGUCGGAAUCGCUAGUAAUCGCAGGUCAGCAUACUGCGGUGAAUACGUUCCCGGGCCUU